Molecule: long non-coding RNA, 264 nt
Filed under: Brassica napus (rape)
Lineage: Eukaryota; Viridiplantae; Streptophyta; Magnoliopsida; Brassicales; Brassicaceae
Description: long non-coding RNA (BNAP_LNC009430)
Source: RNAcentral
AUUCUCGAAGUCAUCAUGUAACCUCUGGAACACCUCGAUCUCUGUCGCGAAUGAUGGCCAGUCCAUCGGGUUUGUAGUCAUAUCCACUAAGUCUGAGCAAUCCGUCUCAUACCGUACCGAAGUGAUCCUUCUGUCUCUCAUACAUGAGGCUGCCCAAAGUAACCCUUCCAUCUCAGCAUACAAAGCUGAGAGGCUCCUGUUACACGCUCGUAAUCCGAAGUAUUUUAAUCCCAUUUGAUCCUUAAGACUCCACCCUAAGCCACU